GAGUACCGUAAUGGUGAGAAUUUCGCGAACCUGUUAUGGGGUAACUGAGCAAAUUCCAGGAGCCCGUGAAAAGGGUGGAUGCAGUCCGUACCAAGAACUGACACAGGUGCCCCUCGCUGAGAAGGCGAAGGCGUGUCGGAAUUAAUCGUGUUAAGGGAACUCGGCAAGUUGGCCCUGUAACUUCGGGAUAAGGGGUGCCUGCCCAGAGAUUGGGCAGGUCGCAGUGACAAGGGCGCUCCGACUGUCUAUAACAACAUAGCAGACUGCAACUCCGAAAGGAUUAGUAUAGUCUGUGAUUCCUGCCCAGUGCGAGUAUCUGAACACCGGGUUCAACCGGACGAAGGACUCGUAAACGGCGGGGGUAACUAUGACCCUCUUAAGGUAGCGUAGUACCUUGUCGCUUAAUUGGCGACUUGCAUGAAUGGAAUAACGAGAGCGCUACUGUCCCUAACACGGAUCCGUUGAACCUUUUGUACUAGUGCAGAGACUAGUGACUCCUUAUGGGAAGUGAAGACCCCGUGGAGCUUUACUGCACCCUGUCGUUGGAUUACGGUAUUACCUGCGCAGGGUAGAUGGGAGGCGUCGAGCCGGUCCUUGUGGGGAUCGGGGAGCCAACGAUGAGACACCAUCCUGGUUUUAUUGUAAUUCUAACUGAGUUUCUCAGGACAUCGAUAGGUGGGCAGUUUGGGUGGGGCGCCACACCCUCGAAAAAAUAUCAAGGGUGCCCUAAGGUCAACUCAAGCGGGUCAGAAACCCGCUGGAGAGUGUCAAGAGCAUAAGUUGGCCUGACGCGAUUGAGCAUAACAAUCAAUCGCGAGAGGAAACUCGGGUCUAACGAACCAAUACGCCCUGCAGGUGAGGGCUAUUGACUACAGAAAAGCUACCCCGGGGAUAACAGAGUCGUCGCCGGCAAGAGCACAUAUCGACCCGGCGGCUUGCUACCUCGAUGUCGGUUCUUUCCAUCCUGGCUGUGCAGCAGCAGCCAAGGGUGAGGUUGUUCGCCUAUUAAAGGGGAUCGUGAGCUGGGUUUAGACCGUCGUGAGACAGGUCGGUUACUAUCUAUAAGGAGUGCAGGAAGUCUGAAGGGAAGAAUGAAAUAGUACGAGAGGAACUUUCAUUCGGCGCCUCUGGUCGAUCGGUUGUCUGACAAGGCACUGCCGAGCAGCUACGCGCCACGUGAUAAAAGCUGAAAGCAUCUAAGCUUGAAACAUACCCCAAAAAGAAACUUCAUUAAAGACACGGAUAGAAGAUCCGGUUGAUAGGAUCGGGAUGUACGCACGAAGGCAACGACGUGUUCAGUCCGCGAUUACUAAUUGUCCUAAU
Molecule: ribosomal RNA, 1323 nt
Filed under: metagenome
Description: bacterial LSU rRNA
Rfam family: Archaeal large subunit ribosomal RNA
Source: RNAcentral